UGGGGAAUAUUGGACAAUGGGCGGAAGCCUGAUCCAGCAACGCCGCGUGAGGGAUGACGGCCUUCGGGUUGUAAACCUCUUUCAGCUCCGACGAAGCGCCCGUGAGGGUGGUGACGGUAGGUGCAGAAGAAGGACCGGCCAACUACGUGCCAGCAGCCGCGGUAAUACGUAGGGUCCGAGCGUUGUCCGGAAUUAUUGGGCGUAAAGGGCUCGUAGGCGGUCUGUUGCGUCGGGAGUGAAAACUUACAGCUUAACUGUGAGCGUGCUUCCGAUACGGGCAGACUUGAGGCAUUCAGGGGAGAACGGAAUUCCUGGUGUAGCGGUGAAAUGCGCAGAUAUCAGGAGGAACACCGGUGGCGAAGGCGGUUCUCUGGGAAUGUCCUGACGCUGAGGAGCGAAAGUGUGGGGAGCGAACAGG
Molecule: ribosomal RNA, 418 nt
Filed under: uncultured prokaryote
Also listed under: 1 other name
Description: bacterial SSU rRNA
Rfam family: Bacterial small subunit ribosomal RNA
Source: RNAcentral